AGGCGAAACCCGGCUGGCACCGGGUCCGUAGGGCUGGCAUCCCUGCGCUGAUGAGCCUGCCAACG
This 65-nucleotide non-coding RNA is filed under the name Saccharothrix sp. ALI-22-I. Lineage: Bacteria; Bacillati; Actinomycetota; Actinomycetes; Pseudonocardiales; Pseudonocardiaceae. The record is from RNAcentral.